Molecule: ribosomal RNA, 783 nt
Filed under: Triticum aestivum (bread wheat)
Lineage: Eukaryota; Viridiplantae; Streptophyta; Magnoliopsida; Poales; Poaceae
Description: partial small subunit ribosomal RNA
Source: RNAcentral
AUGGGCUCGGCUUCAGAUGGUAGCAGGGAGCACCUGCUGGACGUGGGCGGCCUCGCCGCCGGCGGGCCCAAGAUACGGGUGCGCGGGCUGCGGCGGCGGGCGGAGGCGAGCGGCGAGGAGAUCCUGCGCGGGGUGGACCUGGACGUGCCGCGCGGGGUGGUGAUGGGCGUCAUCGGCCCCAGCGGCAGCGGCAAGUCCACGCUGCUCCGCGCGCUCAACCGCCUCUGGGAGCCCGCCCCCGGCGCCGUCACCCUCGACGGCGCCGACAUCUGCGGCAUGGACGUCCUCGCGCUCCGCCGCAAGGUCGGCAUGCUCUUCCAGCUCCCCGCCAUGUUCGACGGGACCGUGGCAGACAACGUGCGGUACGGGCCACAGCUGCGCGGCAAGAAGCUCAGCGAGGCGGAGGUGAAGAGCCUGCUGAGCCUGUCGGACCUCGACCCGGCGCUGUCCUCCCGGCCGGCGUCGGAGCUGUCCGUCGGGCAGGCGCAGCGCGUGGCCCUGGCCCGCACCCUCGCCAACGACCCGGAGGUGCUGCUGCUGGACGAGCCGACGAGCGCGCUGGACCCGAUCUCGACGCAGAACAUCGAGGAGGCCAUCGUGCGGCUCAAGAUGGCGAGGGGGCUCACCACGGUGAUCGUCUCGCACAGCGUGAAGCAGAUCCAGCGGAUCGCCGACCUGGUGUGCCUCGUCGUCGACGGCGAGGUCGUGGAGGUGCUCGCGCCGUCCGCCCUCUCCGAGGCCAAGCACCCCAUGGCCCGGCGCUUCCUGGAGCUCAGCAGCUGA